GGUACCUGCAAUCCUGGAGGUGCCAGCAGCCGCGGUAAUACGGAAGAUGCGAGCGUUAUCCGGAUUUAUUGGGUUUAAAGGGAGCGUAGGCGGGCUUUUAAGUCAGCGGUCAAAUGCCACGGCUCAACCGUGGCCAGCCGUUGAAACUGUAAGCCUUGAGUCUGCACAGGGCACAUGGAAUUCGUGGUGUAGCGGUGAAAUGCUUAGAUAUCACGAAGAACUCCGAUCGCGAAGGCAUUGUGCCGGGGCAGCACUGACGCUGAGGCUCGAAAGUGCGGGUAUCAAACAGGAUUAGAUACCCUGGUAGUCCAGAGAAGAAAUGAAGUGC
Molecule: ribosomal RNA, 328 nt
Filed under: Natronogracilivirga saccharolytica
Lineage: Bacteria; Pseudomonadati; Balneolota; Balneolia; Balneolales; Cyclonatronaceae
Description: Bacterial small subunit ribosomal RNA
Rfam family: Bacterial small subunit ribosomal RNA
Source: Rfam by way of RNAcentral